Molecule: ribosomal RNA, 466 nt
Filed under: uncultured bacterium
Lineage: Bacteria
Description: bacterial SSU rRNA
Rfam family: Bacterial small subunit ribosomal RNA
Source: RNAcentral
CCCAGACUCCUACGGGAGGCAGCAGCGAGGAAUAUUGGUCAAUGGUCGGGAGACUGAACCAGCCAAGCCGCGUGAGGGAUGAAGGUACAGAGUAUCGUAAACCUCUUUUGCCAGGGAACAAAGGCGGGGACGUGUCCCCGGAUGAGUGUACCUGAAGAAAAAGCAUCGGCUAACUCCGUGCCAGCAGCCGCGGUAAUACGGAGGAUGCGAGCGUUAUCCGGAUUUAUUGGGUUUAAAGGGUGCGUAGGCGGAAUAUCAAGUCAGCGGUAAAAAGUCGGGGCUCAACCCCGUCGUGCCGUUGAAACUGAUGUUCUUGAGUGGGCGAGAAGUAUGCGGAAUGCGUGGUGUAGCGGUGAAAUGCAUAGAUAUCACGCAGAACUCCGAUUGCGAAGGCAGCAUACCGGCGCCCAACUGACGCUGAAGCACGAAAGCGUGGGUAUCGAACAGGAUUAGAUACCCUGGUAAU